Vidua macroura (Pin-tailed whydah) is the source of this 285-nucleotide long non-coding RNA. RefSeq lists it as uncharacterized. NCBI's taxonomy places the organism in Eukaryota, Metazoa, Chordata, Aves, Passeriformes, Viduidae. The transcript is spliced from 3 exons. The record is from RefSeq and is a predicted model, not a curated record.
GUCUGUUAGGUCACACAAAAAAGCCUUAACAACACAAAUAUUUGUUGUCAUUUAGAAUCAGAUCAAUCAACAAAACAGCCUGGUUACAAUGGCUUGCAGUGAAAACAAGGAUUCCAAGGACCUCAGGGUCAAAAAGGACAGAAAAACCAGGAAGUAAGAGUCUUCCAGUAGUGAAUAUACUGAAAGCAUGCUAUGUUAUUUGAUUACAAGCUUCAAAAUAGGAUUAAAGGUGAAAUGAAUUGCAACAGCCAUGUUCAAGAAUUCCUCUAAGUACUAGAGGUCAGU